Molecule: ribosomal RNA, 901 nt
Filed under: Ruegeria sp. TSASRA018
Lineage: Bacteria; Pseudomonadati; Pseudomonadota; Alphaproteobacteria; Rhodobacterales; Roseobacteraceae
Description: bacterial SSU rRNA
Rfam family: Bacterial small subunit ribosomal RNA
Source: RNAcentral
GCGGCGGACGGGUUAGUAACGCGUGGGAACGUGCCUUUCUCUAAGGAAUAGCCUCUGGAAACGGAGAGUAAUACCUUAUACGCCCUUCGGGGGAAAGAUUUAUCGGAGAAGGAUCGGCCCGCGUUAGAUUAGAUAGUUGGUGGGGUAACGGCCUACCAAGUCUACGAUCUAUAGCUGGUUUUAGAGGAUGAUCAGCAACACUGGGACUGAGACACGGCCCAGACUCCUACGGGAGGCAGCAGUGGGGAAUCUUGGACAAUGGGGGCAACCCUGAUCCAGCCAUGCCGCGUGAGUGAUGAAGGCCUUAGGGUCGUAAAGCUCUUUCGCCUGUGAAGAUAAUGACGGUAGCAGGUAAAGAAACCCCGGCUAACUCCGUGCCAGCAGCCGCGGUAAUACGGAGGGGGUUAGCGUUGUUCGGAAUUACUGGGCGUAAAGCGCACGUAGGCGGACCAGAAAGUUGGGGGUGAAAUCCCGGGGCUCAACCCCGGAACUGCCUCCAAAACUAUUGGUCUAGAGUUCGAGAGAGGUGAGUGGAAUUCCGAGUGUAGAGGUGAAAUUCGUAGAUAUUCGGAGGAACACCAGUGGCGAAGGCGGCUCACUGGCUCGAUACUGACGCUGAGGUGCGAAAGUGUGGGGAGCAAACAGGAUUAGAUACCCUGGUAGUCCACACCGUAAACGAUGAAUGCCAGUCGUCGGGUAGCAUGCUAUUCGGUGACACACCUAACGGAUUAAGCAUUCCGCCUGGGGGAGUACGGUCGCAAGAUUAAAACUCAAAGGAAUUGACGGGGGGCCCGCACAAGCGGNGGAGCAUGUGGUUUAAUUCGAAGCAACGCGCAGAACCUUACCAACCCUUGACAUCCCGGGACCGGUCCAGAGAUGGGCUUUCCACUUCGGNGGNUCG